Molecule: ribosomal RNA, 301 nt
Filed under: uncultured bacterium
Lineage: Bacteria
Description: partial 16S ribosomal RNA
Rfam family: Bacterial small subunit ribosomal RNA
Source: RNAcentral
CAGCAGCCGCGGGAAUACGAAGGGGGCUAGCGUUGUUCGGAAUUACUGGGCGUAAAGGGCGCGUAGGUGGUUGCGUAAGUGAGAUGUGAAAUCCCCGGGCUUAACCUGGGACGUGCGCCUUAUACUGCGUAACUGGAGUGCAAUAGAGGGUAGUUGAAUUUCCGGUGUAGCGGUGAAAUGCGUAGAUAUCGGAAGAACACCAUUGGCGAAGGCGGCUCACUGGCUCAUUCUAGACGCUGAGGCGCGAAAGCGUGGGGAGCAAACAGGAUUAGAUACCCGCGUAGUCCCUGUCUCUUAUACA